This 253-nucleotide ribosomal RNA is filed under the name uncultured bacterium. Its description in RNAcentral is "partial 16S ribosomal RNA". It matches the Rfam family "Bacterial small subunit ribosomal RNA", at positions 524 to 776 of the family's 1533-position model. The record is from RNAcentral.
UACGUAGGGCGCAAGCGUUGUCCGGAAUUAUUGGGCGUAAAGAGCUCGUAGGCGGCUCGGCAAGUCGGGCGUGAAAUGCCGGGGCUCAACCCCGGGACUGCGUCCGAUACUUCCGAGCUGGAGGUAGGUAGGGGAGAUCGGAAUUCCUGGUGUAGCGGUGAAAUGCGUAGAUAUCAGGAGGAACACCGGUGGCGAAGGCGGCUUCCUGGACAGAAACUGACGCUGAGGCGCGAAAGCUAGGGGAGCAAACAGG